UUUUUAUGUUUUUUUUUGGUUUUAA
This 25-nucleotide small RNA is filed under the name Arabidopsis thaliana (thale cress). RNAcentral describes it as "ATSL231880". The record is from RNAcentral. Lineage: Eukaryota; Viridiplantae; Streptophyta; Magnoliopsida; Brassicales; Brassicaceae.